CCUACGGGAGGCAGCAGUGAGGAAUAUUGGUCAAUGGACGAGAGUCUGAACCAGCCAAGCCGCGUGAAGGAUGACUGCCCUAUGGGUUGUAAACUUCUUUUAUAUGGGAAUAAACUGUUCCACGUGUGGUCUGUUGUAUGUACCAUAUGAAUAAGGAUCGGCUAACUCCGUGCCAGCAGCCGCGGUAAUACGGAGGAUCCGAGCGUUAUCCGGAUUUAUUGGGUUUAAAGGGAGCGUAGGUGGAUUGAUAAGUCAGAUGUGAAAGUUUGCGGCUCAACCGUAAAAUUGCAGUUGAAACUGGCAGUCUAGAGUGCAGUAGCGGUGGGCGGAAUGCGUGGUGUAGCGGUGAAAUGCUUAGAUAUCACGAAGAACUCCGAUUGCGAAGGCAGCUCACUGGACUGCAACUGACAUUGAGGCUCGAAAGUGUGGGUAGCAAACAGGAUUAGAUACCCUUGUAGUC
RNAcentral lists this ribosomal RNA (460 nucleotides) under uncultured bacterium. Its description in RNAcentral is "partial 16S ribosomal RNA". It matches the Rfam family "Bacterial small subunit ribosomal RNA", at positions 338 to 795 of the family's 1533-position model. The record is from RNAcentral.